AAUAGAUACCCAGGUAGUCCACGCCGUAAACGAUGAGUGCUAAGUGUUAGGGGGUUUCCGCCCCUUAGUGCUGCAGCUAACGCAUUAAGCACUCCGCCUGGGGAGUACGGUCGCAAGACUGAAACUCAAAGGAAUUGACGGGGGCCCGCACAAGCGGUGGAGCAUGUGGUUUAAUUCGAAGCAACGCGAAGAACCUUACCAGGUCUUGACAUCCCGCUGACCGCUAUGGAGACAUAGCCUUCCCUUCGGGGACAGCGGUGACAGGUGGUGCAUGGUUGUCGUCAGCUCGUGUCGUGAGAUGUUGGGUUAAGUCCCGCAACGAGCGCAACCCUUGAGAUUAGUUGCCAUCAUUCAGUUGGGCACUCUAAUCUGACUGCCGGUGAUAAACCGGAGGAAGGUGGGGAUGACGUCAAAUCAUCAUGCCCCUUAUGACCUGGGCUACACACGUGCUACAAUGGACGGUACAAACGGUUGCCAACCCGCGAGGGGGAGCCAAUCCGAUAAAACCGUUCUCAGUUCGGAUUGUAGGCUGC
RNAcentral lists this ribosomal RNA (533 nucleotides) under uncultured bacterium. RNAcentral describes it as "bacterial SSU rRNA". It matches the Rfam family "Bacterial small subunit ribosomal RNA", at positions 777 to 1308 of the family's 1533-position model. The record is from RNAcentral.